Caenorhabditis elegans is the source of this 146-nucleotide non-coding RNA. The record is from Ensembl. NCBI's taxonomy places the organism in Eukaryota, Metazoa, Nematoda, Chromadorea, Rhabditida, Rhabditidae.
UUCUAGUGCUGUAAAGUUAUCCGCCUGCUGUGACGACGGUGUCGUGUUUAUGACAUGUUCCUCCUCGGGGUCGUUGAUAACGGCAAAGAGAAGGAACGGGCGUCGUCUCGUUACCGUUUUCCGAUAAAACUAUAUAGGUGUAUAAC